Molecule: ribosomal RNA, 194 nt
Filed under: uncultured bacterium
Lineage: Bacteria
Description: partial 16S ribosomal RNA
Rfam family: Bacterial small subunit ribosomal RNA
Source: RNAcentral
UUCGCCCUUAAACCUCCGCGCGCGGCGGGCGGGGCGGGGGCACGGGGGGCCUACGGGAGGCAGCAGUCGGGAAUUUGGGCAAUGGGCGAAAGCCUGACCCAAGCAACGCCGCGUGAAGGAUGAAGUAUUUCGGUAUGUAAACUUCGAAAGAAUGGGAAGAAUCAAUGACUGGUACCAUUUAUAAGGUCCGGCUA